Molecule: unclassified non-coding RNA, 144 nt
Filed under: soil metagenome
Description: partial internal transcribed spacer 1
Source: RNAcentral
UCAUAGCAGUGUCGGCCUUCGGCCUCGCUAUCUACCCAUGAUCUUUUGCGCUACCGUUCGUUUCCUCGGCGGGUCUUGCCUGCCGAUUGGACAUCAUAAACCAUUUUGUAGUUGCAAUCAGCGUCUGAAAAACAUAAUUAGUUA